This 848-nucleotide long non-coding RNA is filed under the name Bos mutus (wild yak). RNAcentral describes it as "lncRNA (ENSBMUG00000020747.1)". Lineage: Eukaryota; Metazoa; Chordata; Mammalia; Artiodactyla; Bovidae. The record is from RNAcentral.
GCUCUGGCCCCCGCGGGUCGCUGACUUCCUCCGGCCUCCGCCCCUAGCCGCUACCGCCCCCUGGCAGCCGUCUCCAUGGUGCACACCAGACGCCGGAAGCCACCCGGCGGCGGUGGAGGGAGGCAGGGACCCGGCGCAUGAGGCAAGUUACAGUUCUCAGAAUCCAAGUGGAAUCUAACGCUAUGAAACAAUGCCAAGAGAAAAGCAAGGAAAACGAAAAACUAAAGGAGCACCCCAGUCCAUUGUUUCCAUUCUUCAAAAGUUCCUGAAAACAUACGAGAAGCGUUGUGUACAGACUCAGACGUCUGUGUGUCCAGCCAUCAAAAGGGACUUGAAAGCCAGCAUCAACCAUGAACGGAUUCUCAGGAAGUUUGUACUGGUAAGACCUGAUGACUCCCCGCCAGGCAUCCUACCAAUUUCCUUGGAACCUUUGCUCAUGACUGUUCGGGAUGAGUGUUACAUGCUGGGGAGAGAGAUCUGCAUCUGGGGCUUUCAACUGAGCAACCCAGAGAUCGCCAGACUUGCUUUGCUUCUAGAAUCGAAGGGGCACACCCGCUGCCCGUUUACCACCCUGGAACUCAUUGACUGCAAGAUGGAUCCAUGGUCUCUGGGGAGGCUUGGGCAGGCUUUGCAUCUCAGCAGUCUGCAUGUUCUUGUCCUCGACUACUGCAGAUUUACACAUGAAGAAAUUGAGAGUAUUUUCUCAGGCCUGGAGAACAACCAAAGGCUUCAGAGCCUCAGUCUGCGCUACUGUGGUCUGGGGCCACAGAAUGGACCGAGGCUGGGCUCCAUCGUAUGCCACAGUGCCAUUCGGUGAGAGGGUCCCCUGCUCCCCGCCACCCCCGCCC